GUCGAAGCCUGUGCAGAGAAAAUUCUAAUCGAGGUCCAGGGAGAAAGGGAGGGAGAUUCAUCAGAAUUCGCUUUUCUCCUCGCCAUGGACUCUCAUCACGCUUCUCUUGGUCGAAGAACGUUGGAAGAGAUUAGACAAAAGAGAGCUGCUGAGAGAUUGAGCAAAACAUCUUCCGGACCAGAUCUCACCAAAGCUCCAAUUCCUAGUGAUAAUAUGGGAAUGAAAAAAUCAGAAAGCUCAACUCGACUCUCUGAGACCGAUGUUAGUGGAUUAGUAUCUCAGCUAAAAGAUCUGCAGAAAAAGAAUGCAGAUUUGGAGGAAAGCAACAAGGUGUUAUCCUUGAAGAUUCAAACAAAAGAUGUUGAGAAUGAAUCACUGCUGAAGCGCUUAAAUGAUUUGGAGCAGAAUACUGUACCAUCUUUAAGAAAAGCACUCAAGGAUGUGGCCAUGGAGAAAGAUGCAGCAGUGGUUGCACGGGAGGACCUUUCAGCCCAGCUUCGCACCCUUAAGAAACGUCUGAAGGAUGCAGAAGAAGAACAAUACAGAGCUGAGGAAGAUGCAGCAGCUUUGAGAGCAGAGUUAAACUCGAUUCAGCAACAAGCGAUGAGUAAUAAUAUACUCAGUGGAAUGACAUCUGUUGGUAUUUCUCCAGAUCAAGUACAAAACUUGGAAAAGGAGUUGGCUGGUUUAAAGUCAAAUUUGCAGCAAGAGUCAUUAUUGAGGCAAAAAGAGCAACAACGGUUAGCAGAGGAGCAAGCUCGGGUUUCUACCCUUACAUCUGAAAAUCUGGAAUUGGAGGAGAAACUUGCAGCUAUAUCCAGAAGAGGCCCUGGUAUACAUCUUUAGAAGCUUCAUAGUUACCUAGUAGCCAUGAAAGUGCUCCCUAUACAAUGGGAACAUGCACAAAGAAUCCUGUUCUGUCCAUUUACUGCUGUCUUUGAUGGUUCUCAUUUGCUUUGCUAAGUCACCUUCUCUGGUUUUGUAAAUUGCAGAAGUAUCAGAAAAAGUAGCUCAUAAGGUGUUUUCAGUGGUAAGAAAAUCUCUAUGAUUGUUGUAUUCAUUUGUUUGGACUUUCCAUUUGCCAAUCAUGGCUGCGUGCCACACUUUCCAUUAUAAUUACUGUUUCUUUUUUCUAUCUCCUUUUUGGUUAGAAUCCCUUUCCGAAAACAAUUUAUUGUCAAUUCUUGAUCCCUUGUUAACGAAUGGUUGAUAGAAUGUGGGUAAGAUUUCAAUUUCUAUUUUGAUGGAUGUUACAUGCUUUGCAGGAAGAAAAGGAGAAACUUGAGAAGCGGUUGCAUGAUAUGGCUGAAGCAGUUGAGAGAUUGGAGAGUAGUAGACAGAAACUUCUAAAGGAGGUGCAGUCCUUGCUUGUUUGAUUUCCUUGCUGUAAUAUGAAUGGAAAUCUGAAACUCACACGCAUCCCAAAGUGACCAUAUUUUGCUUACAGGUUGAUUCCCAAUCUACAGAGAUAGAGAAGCUAUUUGAGGAAAAUUCUAAUCUCUCUUCUUCUUAUCAAGAGGCAACAAGCAUAGCAAAGCAGUGGGAGAAUCAGUUUAAGGACUGUCUUAAGCAAAAUGAAGAGCUUCGUGGAGUUCUCGUUAAGAUGAGAAUGGAGCAGUCUAGUAUGCUUUCUUCAGGUGAUAAGGAUAUCCUGGGAAGUUCCACUGAACGCAAUAGCAAUGGGAUAAAUGAGACUGGUUCACAGACGUAUACAACUGAGGUCAUUUCCCUCAAGGUUAGUGUUUGAGGAUAGAAGGGUUUUGUUCCUAAAAAGUUCUGAUACCCCUCUGUGCUUUUGUUAUGGUACCUUCUGAGAUUCAACAUUUGUAAGAUAGAGCCAAUCUUUUACUUAAUGAUUCUAAGUAGAUAUUGGUUUUCAGUUCAUCAGUUUGCAUUCACUCAUGGUUGUGUUUUCUUUGAAGGGUGAGCUUGCAAAAGAGCAGAACAGAGCAGAAGCUUUGUCAGCAGAGGUCCUGCAGCUAUCAGCAAAACUCCAAGAAGCUACACAGGCAUAUAAUGGUCUUGCACGCCUCUAUAAACCAGUGCUGAGGAACAUUGAAAACAGCCUCAUCAAAAUGAAGCAAGAUGGCUCUGUGACUGUACUGUGAAAACACAGCAAUUUUACUGCGAUAUCAAGCUUUCUUUCUUUGACUAGUUCGUUGCAAUACUUUUGAGUACUUAACAAUUUUGGGGUAUUGCUUGCUAGAAACAAUUUUCAGAGGAAUGUUUUAAACAGAUUCCCUUAUUUGUUGUACAAGGGUUGGGCCAGCAACUAUAAACAAAAAGUUGAUCUACUUGCUGCAUUCAUUUACUAAUAUAAAGUGGUGUAUUGUUUUCUUGUUCGUUUUCUGCAUGAAUAAUUUACUAUGGUGUGAUGCUUGCCCUUUAGAACUAAAUGUACUUUCAGAGCAUAAAAACCAGACUACCCGAAGGCAGCAGAUGGCAGCACGGCUGCACCUUUGGUAGAUGGAGCGGAAACGGUGGCUCAAUUACAGGAUCUUAAUUGCCAACCUACAAUCUAAAUUGGUUCAUAUUCUGUAGCUACAACGGACCCAGGACCCACCCCAUUGGAGAUUAAUGGCCCCAACUCUGUUUAUGGCAAUUAUUGACGUGAAUACUAGAUGCUCGAGAUGUCAGAUGCUAAGUCGAAGAUGAGGGGCAUGAGUGUCAGAGCAGGAAAACAGAGGAAGAUGAAGAGUAGCAUCCAAUUAUGAUUUAAAUAGCAAUAUCAAACUAACACACGAACUAUAACAAGAACACUUCAAGAUUGUAUGAUGUUAAUAUGCAUAACGUUAUUUUGAGCAGCAGCCCGCAUUUUAGUGCCGCUAGUUCCUAAUCAUUUCCAAAUUUACUCGGACAGAGGCAGCUGGUGUGAGCCUGUGAUGUGAUGGAGAUUGGAGGCUUUUAUAAGGUGUAUUCGUCUUUCUAUGUGCCAUGUACACUAAUCCAUGUUAUCAUUCAUAAAUUCAAUAACGGAGCAGUAAGAGUGAUCAUGGUUUAAAUUCAAUUGUUUGAAAUCUACAGAUGAUGCUCUCUGAUUUUCCCUCUUUUAUAUAUGUCAGAAAGCAAUAAGCAAGAAAUCCUAACAUGGUACAUAUGCGCAACAUACAUCUUUAUCAACAUCUGAUGUUUCAUCGUUAGCAUGCUGCAAUGUCCAACAACAUAAUACCAUCGAUGUAUCCUAGUAAGAAGAAUCUGGUACAAACAUGUGAGAGCCACAUUCAGCCUUCUGA
This 3233-nucleotide unclassified non-coding RNA is filed under the name Hevea brasiliensis (rubber tree). Lineage: Eukaryota; Viridiplantae; Streptophyta; Magnoliopsida; Malpighiales; Euphorbiaceae. The record is from RNAcentral.